UACGUAGGGGGCGAGCGUUGUCCGGAUUUAUUGGGCGUAAAACGCUUGUAGGUGGCUACGUCAAGUCGGACGUGAAAUCUCCCGGCUUAACUGGGAGGGGUCGCUCGAUACUGGCGAGCUCGAGGCAGGUAGGGGGAAGCGGAAUUCCCGGUGUAGUGGUGGAAUUCGUAGAUAUCGGGAGGAACACCGGUGGCGAAGGCGGCAUCCUGGACCAAUAUUGACGCUGAGGAGCGAAAGCCAGGGGAGCAAACGGG
This 254-nucleotide ribosomal RNA is filed under the name uncultured bacterium. Its description in RNAcentral is "partial 16S ribosomal RNA". It matches the Rfam family "Bacterial small subunit ribosomal RNA", at positions 524 to 776 of the family's 1533-position model. The record is from RNAcentral.